This 252-nucleotide ribosomal RNA is filed under the name uncultured bacterium. RNAcentral's name for it is "partial 16S ribosomal RNA". It matches the Rfam family "Bacterial small subunit ribosomal RNA", at positions 524 to 776 of the family's 1533-position model. The record is from RNAcentral.
UACGUAGGUCCCGAGCGUUGUCCGGAUUUAUUGGGCGUAAAGCGAGCGCAGGUGGUUUAUUAAGUCUGGUGUAAAAGGCAGUGGCUCAACCAUUGUAUGCAUUGGAAACUGGUAGACUUGAGUGCAGGAGAGGAGAGUGGAAUUCCAUGUGUAGCGGUGAAAUGCGUAGAUAUAUGGAGGAACACCGGUUGCGAAAGCGGCUCUCUGGCCUGUAACUGACACUGAGGCUCGAAAGCGUGGGGAGCAAACAGG